Molecule: ribosomal RNA, 151 nt
Organism: Oreochromis aureus
Lineage: Eukaryota; Metazoa; Chordata; Actinopteri; Cichliformes; Cichlidae
Rfam family: 5.8S ribosomal RNA
About the family: 5.8S ribosomal RNA (5.8S rRNA) is a component of the large subunit of the eukaryotic ribosome. It is transcribed by RNA polymerase I as part of the 45S precursor that also contains 18S and 28S rRNA. Functionally, it is thought that 5.8S rRNA may be involved in ribosome translocation.
Source: Ensembl
GACUCUUAGCGGUGGAUCACUCGGCUCGUAAGCGUCGAUGAAGAACGCAGCUAGCUGCGAGAACUAAUGUGAAUUGCAGGACACAUUGAUCAUCGACACUGAACGCACCUUGCGCCCCGGUUCCUCCCGGGCUACGCCUGUCUGAGCGCCG